ACCUAUCCCUCCCAACAGCUAGCUUACCCCCUAAAUCUAACAAGCCCCCAUCAACUUAAACCCAAAUACCCCCAAGCAACAAAACAAACCAUUUUUCCCCCAUAGUAUAGGUGAUAGAAAAGGACCAAAACGCAAUAGAAAAAGUACCGCAAGGGAAUGCUGAAAGAGAAAUGAAACAACCCAGUAAAGAGAAAGAAAGCAGAGACCCCCCCUCGUACCUUUUGCAUCAUGAAUUAGCCAGAAAAUUUUAAGCAAAGUGCACUUUAGUUUAAACCCCCGAAACUAGACGAGCUACUCCAAGACUGCCUAUUAGGGCUAACCCAUCUCUGUGGCAAAAGAGUGGGAAGAGCUUAGAGUAGAGGUGACAGACCUAACGAGCCUAGUUAUAGCUGGUUGCCUACAAAAUGAACAGAAGUUCAGCCUUUUAACUUCUUCCUCCAACUACAAUUAACUUCACCAACUGGUAUAAAGAAGCUAAAAGAGUUAUUCAAGGGGGGUACACCCCCCUCGAAAAAAGACACAACUUUAUAAAGCAGGCUAAAGAUCAAACUCCCUUAAGGCAAGACACCUUGGUAGGCCUAAAAGCAGCCACCCCCUCAGAAAGCGUUAAAGCUCAAGUAACAUAUCAGCCCUAAAUCCCAAUAACAAAAUCUUAAGCCCCUAACUGCUAUAGUAGGCCCAUUUAUGUAGACAUAAAAGAGACACUGCUAACAUGAGUAAUAAGAGGGCCCAGGCCUUCUCCACAAGCAUCUGUUUACAUCAGAACGAACCCCCACUGAAAAUUAACGCCCCCAAUUCAUAGAGGGAAAUGAAAUAGACCAACUUAAACUAGAAAACCUCUCAAACCCCAAGCGUUGACCCUACACAGGUGUGCCCAAGGAAAGACUAAAAGAAAAAGAAGGAACUCGGCAAACACUGGCCUCGCCUGUUUACCAAAAACAUCGCCUCUUGCAAGCACAACACAUAAGAGGUCCCGCCUGCCCUGUGACUCAUUAGUUUAACGGCCGCAGUAUUUUGACUGUGCAAAGGUAGCGUAAUCACUUGUCUUUUAAAUGAAGACCAGUAUGAAUGGCACAACGAGGGCCAAGCUGUCUCCUUUUUCUAGUCAAUGAAAUUGAUUUUCCUGUGCAGAAGCAGGAAUACCCCCAUAAGACGAGAAGACCCUAUGGAGCUUCAGACAUAAGGCAGCCCAUGUUAAAAGCCCAGAUUAAUGGAAAUAACAAAAUGGCCUUCUGCCCAUCUGUCUUUGGUUGGGGCGACCAUGGAGCAACAAGAAUCCUCCAUGUGGAAUGGGGUCACAACCCCUAAAGCCAGAGCCACAGCUCUUGCAAACAGAACAUCUGACCAACAAGAUCCGGUCUAACCGAUCAACGGACCGAGUUACCCUAGGGAUAACAGCGCAAUCCCCUUUUAGAGCCCAUAUCGACAAGGGGGUUUACGACCUCGAUGUUGGAUCAGGACAUCCUAAUGGUGCAGCUGCUAUUAAGGGUUCGUUUGUUCAACGAUUAAAGUCCUACGUGAUCUGAGUUCAGACCGGAGAAAUCCAGGUCAGUUUCUAUCUAUGCUGUGCUCUUUUCUAGUACGAAAGGACCGAAAAGAAGAGGCCCCUGCUUAAAGUAAGCCUCCCCCUCACCUAAUGAAACCAACUAAAUUAGAUAAAAGGGCGCACUACCCAUGUUUAAGAAAAAGACAA
RNAcentral lists this ribosomal RNA (1693 nucleotides) under Trypauchenopsis sp. G341. RNAcentral's name for it is "16S rRNA". The stretch from base 115 to 1581 matches the Rfam family "Bacterial large subunit ribosomal RNA". Lineage: Eukaryota; Metazoa; Chordata; Actinopteri; Gobiiformes; Gobiidae. The record is from RNAcentral.